AUUGAACGCUGGCGGCAGGCCUAACACAUGCAAGUCGAGCGGAUGAAGGGAGCUUGCUCCUGGAUUCAGCGGCGGACGGGUGAGUAAUGCCUAGGAAUCUGCCUGGUAGUGGGGGAUAACGUCCGGAAACGGGCGCUAAUACCGCAUACGUCCUGAGGGAGAAAGUGGGGGAUCUUCGGACCUCACGCUAUCAGAUGAGCCUAGGUCGGAUUAGCUAGUUGGUGGGGUAAAGGCCUACCAAGGCGACGAUCCGUAACUGGUCUGAGAGGAUGAUCAGUCACACGGGAACUGAGACACGGCCCGGACUCCUAGGGGGGGCGGCGGUGGGAAAUUUUGGACAGGGGGCGAAGCCCGGAUCCACCCGGGCGGCGUGUGUAAAGAAGGUCUUGGUUUUGUAAAACAUUUUAAUUUGGGAGAAAGGCAAGUAAUUAAAUCCCUUCUUUUUUUGACUUUCCCAAAAAAAAAGCCCCCGGCUAACUUCGUC
RNAcentral lists this ribosomal RNA (484 nucleotides) under uncultured bacterium. Its description in RNAcentral is "partial 16S ribosomal RNA". It matches the Rfam family "Bacterial small subunit ribosomal RNA", at positions 30 to 507 of the family's 1533-position model. The record is from RNAcentral.